Molecule: ribosomal RNA, 516 nt
Filed under: uncultured bacterium
Lineage: Bacteria
Description: bacterial SSU rRNA
Rfam family: Bacterial small subunit ribosomal RNA
Source: RNAcentral
AGAGUUUGAUCCUGGCUCAGGAUUAACGCUGGCGGCAUGCCUAAUACAUGCAAGUCGAACGAGAGUAUUUAUACUCUAGUGGCGAACGGGUGAGUAACACGUGGGUAACUUAUCUUAAAGACGAGGAUAACAGUUGGAAACGACUGCUAAUACUGGAUAGGUUAAAUUAACACAAGUUGAUUUAAUUAAAGGUGCUCCAAAGCAGCACUUUAAGAGAGGCCUGCGUUGCAUUAGCUAGUUGGUGGGGUAACGGCCUACCAAGGCUACGAUGCAUAGCUGUGCUGAGAGGCAAAACAGCCACACUGGGACUGAGACACGGCCCAGACUCCUACGGGAGGCAGCAGUAGGGAAUUUUCGGCAAUGGACGAAAGUCUGACCGAGCAAUGCCCGCGUGAACGAUGAAGGUCUUCGGAUUGUAAAGUUCUGUUGUUAGGGAAGAAUAGAGUAAUUAGGAAAUGAGUUACUUUUGACGGUACCUAACUAGAAAGCCCCGGCUAACUAUGUGCCAGCAGCCGC